UACGUAGGGUGCAAGCGUUGUCCGGAAUUAUUGGGCGUAAAGAGCUUGUAGGCGGUUUGUCGCGUCUGCUGUGAAAUUUCGGGGCUCAACCCCGAACUUGCAGUGGGUACGGGCAGACUAGAGUGUGGUAGGGGAGACUGGAAUUCCUGGUGUAGCGGUGAAAUGCGCAGAUAUCAAGAGGAACACCUGAGGUGAAGACGGGUUGCUGGGCUGACACUGACGCUGAGGCGCGAAAGCUAGGGUAGCAAACGGG
This 253-nucleotide ribosomal RNA is filed under the name uncultured bacterium. Its description in RNAcentral is "partial 16S ribosomal RNA". It matches the Rfam family "Bacterial small subunit ribosomal RNA", at positions 524 to 776 of the family's 1533-position model. The record is from RNAcentral.